GUAUACUAAAUAUUUCAAUUAUUUUUGCAGUCACUUCUGUUCUUCACAUUAACUGGUUAAAGUCAGUAAAUCAGAAAUGACUAGAAUUAAGGCCAAAAUUGUUUCAACAAUCAACUUUUACCUCUUGGUAGACGCCAGACUUUGAAAGUCCUUUUGCAUCUCCGCAUGUUCCCUUGCAUCUUUGAAUCCUCUACCAACCUCACCCCAUCCCCACUAUGCCAUUUACAAGUGUACACAGUGCUUUCUUUUGUAAAAAUGGCUUGCCUAAUAGUUUCUGCAGGCGUUUUCUCAAUUCUGUCAAAUCCUGACUAUGCCGCUGCAUUCAUUGACCUCAACACAGUGAAUAAAGCGCACAGCACACCAUUUCAAGGCUCUGGUUAAAUUGUCAUGAAGUUCUGGUGCUAUUCUCUAACUUUCUUGAAGUUGCUGAUCAUCCUAAACAAAUUCUUCUUCAGUCCUACCUACCCUGAGCCAAGUAUUUCUAGAGCAUGGUGAUCUAAUGGAAAGAGCCAAACUUGGGAGUCAGGAACUACUGACUGAGCCUCGUCCUGCUGUGGACUAGCUAAGUGAACUGGGAUAAUCUCUGAUCCUCUCCAGACCUUAAUGUCUUCACUUAAAAAAUUGAGAGAACAGUAUAUUAGUACUUAACAUCAGAGCUGUGACAAUCACAUUAGAGAAUUCAGUUCUCUGGAGGAACUGAAGUAAGCCAGGGUGCAAGCCCUUCCCCAGAGGCAAGUAGGAAUACGGUGGAAGGUUUCUGCAGAGGCUGUAGAGAGCGUGGGGAGAACGAGAUCUGGCCGUGACUACGAUCCCUGAACUAGAGGAAGUUGUAGAGUUGUGAGAGUUUUGUUUUCUUUGGGUGAGAGCGUUCUCAAGUGUGGAUGACAGAGAAGCACAGGGAGUGAGCCGCCAUGUAAUUUAAAGUAAUAAACAUGUCAUUUUAUAAGAAUAAAAAAGUCAAGAUUUUUAAAAAGCC
This 976-nucleotide long non-coding RNA is filed under the name Equus asinus (donkey). RNAcentral's name for it is "lncRNA (ENSEASG00005032686.1)". The record is from RNAcentral. Lineage: Eukaryota; Metazoa; Chordata; Mammalia; Perissodactyla; Equidae.